Molecule: long non-coding RNA, 2459 nt
Filed under: Nicotiana tabacum (common tobacco)
Lineage: Eukaryota; Viridiplantae; Streptophyta; Magnoliopsida; Solanales; Solanaceae
Description: long non-coding RNA (NTAB_LNC005611)
Source: RNAcentral
AGGCAACAAUAAAGAGGGGAGGACGUGAAAGUAAGGAAGAAACAGAAAAAUGGAAGAUACGAAAAAACAGCAAAAAAAAAAAAAAAAAUAGAGCUUGAAAUCUCACAAUCACUCAUCUUCCUCAGAUUCCUUUUGAACAUAAAUAGUGGCUAUAUUCUAUCCAAAUCUAGCUGGGUUGAAAUUAAUCUAUCAAAACAACGUAAUGGAGAUCGAUUUCGUCGGUUGAGUUGAUGUCGAGUGGUUGAGGCUGAGAUCCGGUACGUAGUAAUAUGUGCUUUAUUCCAAUUCAAAGUGCAAUUACAUUCAAGACAAAAUUAUAUAAUACAAAGGUCCUUUCCUUUUUUCUAUCUUGCUUUAAUUUUUACUUCGUAUAUCAUAAAUUAGUGGUUUAUUUGUUAUGUUUCAUCACGUUUUGAUUAUUUUUUUUUUGCUUAAUUUGUGCUUGUUGUGUGGAAUAUAAAUAAUAAUAAUUUUUGACUUUUUCUUUCUUUUUUUUGGAUUUCGUAAGAGUGAUAUGUGCUGAAAUUCCUUCUCAUCGUGAGUUUGAUUAGUUUAAUAAGAUCAUAAAUUGGACGAUAGUUUUGAUUAUUAAAAAGGGGAACAUGAAAUUGUUUUGGGAUUUCUCUCACUUCGUCUCUGAUUGCUCAUUAUCAGUGUGUAUGUGCUUUAUUGGAUUUUGUUUAGUUAUUUUUUUAAGCUAAUCUUUAUUGAUUCCACGUAGUAUUUUGUUGAGCUUAGUUUCAAAUGGACGUUUAAGUGGAUAUGUGUGAUCUUUGUGCUUACUCCAAUUAUUUUUCGUAGUCCUCCAUCUUAGUUUUAUUAUAAGUUUAAUACAUGGUUUAUAUAUGGAUUUAAAUAUGGAAAUUAGUAAAAAUUUGAUAUUUUGGUAGAAAAUUUAGAAUUUGGUAUUUUUGGAUUUUGACCACGAAAUUAGAUAUAAAAUUGAGAAUAAAUCACAUAUUUGAGUUCGUAGUGUUAUGGAUAAAGUUUAUCUUCGAAACAUUUCGGAAUCCUAGCACGUGACUUUAUUGACUAUUCGAGCGGAGUUGAAAAUUGUCUAAAUUUAUUAAUUAUGGGUAUUAGAGUAUAUUUUGAUUGGUUUGCAUAUUGAUUGACUAGUUUUGGAUCGACGGGCAUAAGUUUGAGGUGUUAGAGAGGCUUUGGAGCCGGUUAUAGAAUUUCGGAGCGAGGUAAGUCUCCUGUCUAACUCUGUGAGGGGAAACUACCCCUAGGUGAUAUAUUUGAUAUGUGCUACUUGUUGCGGGGGCUACGUACGCACGAGGUGACGAGAAUCCGUACAGAGCCAAAUUCAUGUUAUUGUCCAGGUGGACUUAUGUUCACACCAUGCCAUAAUUGUACUAUAAGGGUUAUCUUUGCUCGUUUAACUCCUUUAUUUGGCAUUACGACUUGAGACUAGACUUGCGUAGAGUGAUAGACUUGCUAUUGUAGAGAUUUGACGGGCUUCAUGGUUAGCCACAGAUUAAUUGUGCUCGUCUUGCGAAAUUUCUCCCGCGCUAUGCGUUUUCAUCGAAAGAUCUUCCUUAAAAUUUAUAAAUCACACGUUUAUUCGUGAGUGGGGUCAAGGACUCGUUAAUGUUUCUUAUUCUAAUGGGAUCAGGCCGUUCGCCUCGACAGGAUUAUGUACCACACUCUCAUGGGAGCGGGUCGUUCACCUCGGCAGUAUAAUAGAUGCAUCUAUGGUUCGUGUCGUUCGACCCUCGGCAGUGCACACAGUAUGAUGGAAUCGGGCCGUACGCCUCGGCAUUUCUAUAAAAUACUCAUAUGGAAUCGUACGCAAUAUUUGACAAGAAGCCUGUGUAUCUGUGAGUUUUUCCUGAUUUGAAUUGUGAUGACCUAUUUGGGGAGGCCCAUUAUGUAUUUAUAUAUAUACUCCGGUUUAGGAAGUAACUGCUAAUUGAGAGCCUGGGUUUAUUGUUGAGAGGAGGAUUGUACAUGGUAUUUAUACUUGUUUAUUUCGUUUAUUUACUCUGCCUCACAACUGUUACUUCUACUGUAUCUGUCUUAUUAUACCACUAGUAAGUAUCGAUGUUGACCCCUCGUCACUACUUCUCUGGGUUUAGGCUAGAUACUUACUGGGUACGCGUUGAUUUACGUACUCAUGCUACACUUGCUGUACUUAUUGUGGGGUAUAUUUAUGUUUCCGGUAGUCCUCUAGGUGCAGAGGCGCGACUUUUGCAGGGACUUUUCGGUGAGCUACAUUUUCUUGUUACGAUCCGCUGCAUACAGAGUCUCCAUCAGAGUUAUUUAUUUUCCCCGUCUAACUUGUAUUCUAGACGGUUAUUAUAUUAUUAUUGUACUCCUUAGUAGAUGCUCAUGUACUUGUGAUACCGAAUUUUGGAAGUUUCUACUGAUUGUUCCUUAUUGUAGUUCAUGCAAUUAUUAUCAUUUCACCUUGAGAUUUAUAUUUUUAUACAGGAAUUGAAAAAAUAAUAUCAUGG